RNAcentral lists this long non-coding RNA (2549 nucleotides) under Rattus norvegicus (Norway rat). Lineage: Eukaryota; Metazoa; Chordata; Mammalia; Rodentia; Muridae. The record is from RNAcentral.
AGCUGUGAGGCGAAGCUGAGCAGGUAUGCGAUAUCUGUCCGUUACGGUUUUAGGCCUUGUGGGAAUGAAGCUCCCUAAGCUGGUGGAAUUCCGGUGCCAAAAGGAGAGCUUAGUUUAAGGCACGAGCUGGACGCUUUGGAAGAUUUGCUUUCUGCGUAUGUGACAUAAAAUAGCAUUGGAUUUUUAACCUGGAAACAAUACAAUACAAUAGUGACUCAGCAAGUGACUCUUGCAAUGAUGAAGGUUAUGUUGGUAGGGACAACUGACCUUGUUGAUGAAUACCAACAAUUCUGAUGGCAGAGCAUGCUGAGUCAGGUCGAGCUGCCUUUUGUACUCACGUGCUAUUUUUCGGUGCACCGUACGGCUAGGGUUGAAUGCAAAGUCCUGCGGUAUUAGAUAACCGUGACGUCGAAGGCGUUUGCUAGAAACUGCCACAAUGUAGACCUUAGUAGAAAAGGGAAUAAGUUUCCACUUGGGAAGGGCCUGGUAUGGAGAAUUAAGUGUGAUUGCUAGACAAACGCAUCUUACAGUGCCUUUGUGAAGGAAGCUCGUAUGACACAUUUUUACCGGGGUAGAACUUAAGAAAAAGACAUUAAGUGAUAAAUCCAUUCGUAGGAAUGGCCCUGUGGACCUCUGUGAUGGGACAUCUGGUGGAAUCUCACAGGCAGGUAAGUCAAUAAUGAAUCUCCGAAACAUAAUGAAUUAAAAGCCCAUGAUGGUAUGAGAGUAGUGGACAGAAGGGAUUUCUGAAAAACACUGUUCUGAGGCUUUAAUAUAAAGUGCUGGGGGAAAGUAAGUUCAGUGAAGGAGGGGACUGACUCUUCACAUCUUUUCUUUCUAGUUCUGUGGCAAAGAUGGAUGAAAGCUAAGGUUAGUAUGAAAAUGGCCCUAGUGAGAGAAGUUCGAUGAAAAAGAUAGUGCCACAAUGAUGACAUCAUUUGCUACUCUUGACAGUUGGGGUGACGAUAGCUAUAGACCACCAUUAAUCAUAACUGAGGCACAAAGAAAGAUGAUUGGGGGGCACUUACAGAGUAAGCAGUAUUUACAUAAAGACUUUCUUCCCCAGGACUCAUGAGGAAGCUGGAUAACUGAACAAAGCCAUGUAAGCAGGCUUUUUGGUAUGCAUGUGGUCCCAUUACAAGGAAUACCCAAUAAAUAGCAAAUGCACACUGCCAUUCACAAGCAAUUGCAGAGAAUGGGUGGGGGAUGUGAAACUAAAGAGCUUUGUAGCUGCCUGAGGAGGUGGGUUCUCUAUAUCCGUGGGAGCUAGUGAUCCCCCACAGGUCUUAGCUGGUGCCAUGAUUGUGAUCUUAGGCCAGAUUUGAUGUCCCCCACAUGGCCGAGUCCGCCAUGGAUGCAACAGGGCAGCUUUAUUUGCUGUUGCAGGUACAAGAAUGGGAAGCCAGAAAAUGGGAUGGUAAGUGAAUCUAAAGGAUUGUAGUAAUAGAGGCCAAAUAUGGCUUGGCAUUACACUUUUUGAAAAGUGCUUGGGCCACAUGCAGUGUCCUAGCCAUAUCUUUGUGAACACAGCCUACAUGAUGACAAACAAAUGCUGACUAAUGUGAAGAUCUUAAUUAGCUCUAUCUGAUGUUGGGCUCCACCUGGCUUUUGUGGGGAGAGUUGAAUUUUUUGACUGCACUAACAGUUGUAAUUCUUUCAGGUGGAGUUUGAAUCAGGUGGACAGUUCUAAAAGUAAGUAGUGAAAAACAGUUGCUGUAGGUCAGUACAAAGUGGCAUGAAGAAAUUUUUAAAUUCAGAGUCCAGCAUGUAUUGUCUUCUGAUGCUUGAAUUAGUUGUAUUCUUGACAACACUUAAACGGGGUUUUUGUAAUGAUGUUGAUCAAAUGUCUGAGCUGAAAAUAACUUGUAGACAAUUUUUAACACUGAAGAACCCUGUGGCAGGCUACUAAGCAUAGUUGGGUCACAUGCAGCAUAUUUGUAAGAGGUAUUUUCUUUUAAUUCUAGCUACUGUGGUUGCAUGCUUUCAUUGGGAUGGCUUGCUUGGGUAAGAAGCCAUUGGGGGUCUUGAAUUCAAGAUGUAUUCUAUCCAGUAGUCAUUUGCAGUAUUCCUGUAUAACAUUUAACUUUUGAACAUGCAUGUGCUACCAUGGGUACUAAAUGGUGCCUUCAAUUUUUUUUCAGGUACAAAUGAUUUCGUAUAAAGGUACCACAUGUGGGUCCCUUUAACUGAAGGCAUGGCAAGCUCCACACAAGGUCCUUCAUUUCUGAAUUUCAAGGUAAGUCAUCUUGUUUUUCUAGAUUGUAAUAUGGCUUGUAACCAGUGAUGUGAUGAUUCUGCCAAAUGAUACAAAGUGAUAUCACCUUUACAACCGUUCCAUUUUAUUUCUGAGGUUACUCUGGUAACAUGUUAGCUUGAACCAUUCUAAGCCAGAUGAGUAAGUUUUUGUUUUCUUAGGGCUCCUCUGACAAGUGGACAGUGCAGUGGGUGCACCUUUUCCAGAGGUGACUGGAUGGAUGCUUGAACAGAAGAUUUGCCAAAUAGACAUUGUGCUGUCAAGAAUUUUACCAUUAAAAGUGCAUUAUUGUAGC